UGCUGAGCAGUGCAAGGCACUGCGCUAAGUGCUUCUGGUGAGCACACGUUAAGCACUCACUGGCUCUGCUCAUGACAUGCUGAAUCACUGUGGUGGGAGCUCAGGUGAGUGCGUGAAUAAUCUCAGAACAAGAGGGGGAUUAAAUGCUUUCAGGGAGGAAAUUGUAAAAUACUAGAGGAGUCCAGAGAAGGGAAGAAUUGUUUCCUGCAAGAGGUGUGGAAAAGGAAAAUCAGAGAAGGCUUCAUGACAGCAGUGGACUUGGCUGGAUCUUGAAGGAAAGUGAGAUUUUGACCAGGGCACUGGGAGCCACGUUUGUGUGGGGAGUGAGGGCUGGGGUUUUAAGUGAGGGGUGUAAAGGUGAAGAGCGAUCAAUGUUAAGUAGGCAGGAAAUUCAAGCAUGAGGGUAGGUAAAAGAGAGAAAUGAGAAGGGUAGAGAAGUAGGUAAUCAGCAGAUUACAAAGGAUUUUGAUCAAGGUCAAGUGUUCACAUUUUAUUUUCUAGACAGAUGGGAACCGAUGAGAACCUCUGAGCAGAGGAGAGGUAUGAUCAGACACAUGCUUCAGAAAGAUGAACAUCGUGGGGGAUAGAUGAAUAGGAAGGAGGAAGGAGGACAAUCUAGACAUGGAAAAACUAAUUAGGAGUCUACUGCAUAUAAAUAAGAGAUUUGUCAGUGAUCCUGUGAAACCUGAACACCCCGGAAGCUGUUGAUUAUGUUGGUUGGAUUUGGGAACAAAGUGUUCAUGUUGAUGAUACAAAUGAGAAGCUGACUGCAUUGCCCCUUGCUCAUUCUUCUGAGCAGCAGACAUAUGGACUGUGUAUGAGGAAUAUAAUUCUGUUUCUUGUGAGACUCCGAAGCACUAUGAAGAACGGCGAAAGAUGACUCUUCUGUAUUUUGUUUAUGUUUUGCCUGAAGAGGAUUUCUCAGUGGGGAUUUUGGUAUUUUUUUCAGGUGAUUCUCAGCUACGAUCUUUUUGCGUUUCACACCUUUAAGGGAUUCCGAAGUUCCUUUAACACCAGCCUGUAAGAUUUCUGGAAAAAACAACAACAACAACAAACAAUUGGUAACAUUGUACAUACACCAACUAUAAUUUUUUGAAAAUUAAGAUUACUAUCAUAAGGACAUUAUGACAAGUGAAGAAAGUAUUUAAGGAAAGUCUAUUUUUUAAAUAAAAUUGCACUUCUGCAUUCCGGAAAUUGAACAAUGAUGCCAAUCAAAAUCUAUUGAAACACUCAUUCAAAGACCUAAGUGUGCAUUUCUAGAAUGCUUAUGUUCCUUUCUUGAAUAAUCAACAUCCUGGAACUAGAUCUUUCAAAACUGAAUUAUCUUUCCCCUUUUCACUAUCAUACUUAAACAGUGCUCCAUGGGGUUAAAGAAACUGGUAACUAACAAGAAGUUUUGAGCUUGUCUUACAGCACUGCAGAUAAAGAAACAGCUUGUUAGAACUCCCUCUGCUUGUAACAAAACUGGUUGACUGGUUGAAGCUGGUUGGAACUGGUAUGGCUGAUUGGGAUCUGCACAGAAUAGACUUCUUGCCAGAUGAGGGACUUUCUGAUAUCAAAGCCAGUAUUUUCACCACAGGUUUCACACCAACUCCCUCCGAAUUUGCAAAGGCAACCCAUGAGGAAGCACGAAGAGACAACUGUGCCUGCUCAAGGGACUUUCCAAACCUCCCCUCCCUUUCCAACAAUCAUUAACCAACCCCAAAACUCCUCCUCCAGCAUCUCCUCCUUUUAUAUACUGCUUUAAGCUGGUAAGGGAAGACAGAAUUGAGCCCAUCUCCUGCAUGGCUGCCUUGCCAUUAAUCUUUCUCUCUAUAAAAAUCCAGUGAUUCAGUGUUUGGCUUUUCAUUGUGUGCAGACAAAUGGACCUAGAUUGGCUUGGUAGCAAUACCUGAGGACUCUGUCUACACAACAGUCUGAGAAGGCUGGCCAAAAAGAAGAAAAUUCAACCCUUUAAUGCUGAGUAUUUGACUGUCUUAUCUCAUUAAGGUUCUUUUAAAACAAACUUUUCAGCAAAUUUCUAAGUAUGCAAAACUGAUAUUUUCAGGAGAAAAGGGGCUGCUAAUAUAAUUUCUAGAGCAGACCAUAGUCAGGACAGCCAUGAAGUAUUGCUGAUGUAGCAAUUAUAUCAAUGAACAGAAAAUUAUGAAACUAAAAUAAUCCACUUAUUUGUGGUUUCUUACCAACAAAAUUAAAAAGUCAUAAGGUUGUAAUGGGCCUUGGUUUAAAAAAAAUCACCACUUUAACUCAACAAAAUAUUCAAUGGCUAUGUUUCUUUGUCAUUAGCAAUAGGUAGGGCAGGUAGGCAGGUAGGGAGAUAGGCAGAAAGAAGGUAAAACUUAUUGCAAGAGAAAUGAAAUCACCUUAAUUUCUAGUUGUGUUGGAAAUAAAUCAGUAUUUAAGUGACAGUGCCCACAAUCUAUCAACUACUGUAUUUUUGAGCAAUAAUUACUUGCCAUGAUUUACUUUGGUUUCCAUUUGUUGGAUUGUUGGGCAUAUGAACAAAAAAUAUUCAAUCGUAUAUUACUCUAUUUGUAGAAAGCCAACUACUUAAUUCUCCACUAUUUUCAAAUAGCUGUUGCAACGUACAUAUUUGAAAUUCAUAUUAGACCAAAAUGUCUACACUGUAAUAACUACUUAUUGAGAAUAAAAUUUACAUUAGAAAUAUUCUAGUAAUAUUGUGACAUCAGUUUAUAUGCUCUCAUAUCAUAGUUUAAUGAAAAAAAUGCAUACUAUUCCAUUAAAGAUAUAUUUACCCACCAUAAUAAAAAAAAAAACAAAAGGGGGUCUCAUAACUAAAAUAUUUGAGCUAAAGAACAAUAGAAAAAAGUAUCAGUAUUAUUCACUUUUACAAAAUGUUGAACAAACAUUUUUUUAUUCUCCAAUCCACUCACUCAUGAAAUGAUGUUUUCCCACUGGUUUUCCCUUAUUAAGAUGAAUGUAAGAAAGUCAGUGAUGCACUUUUUGACUCUCAUUAACUCUAUCAGGCAAGUAGGCAAAGUGAAAAAUGAUGCUCAUCAACCUGGGCUGAGUAGUCUCUCUAUCCACUUCCAAAAGCUAGAUGUGGGUAUCAUAAAGGUGAAAGCCAGGAGGCUAUUAAAAUAAAUACAAAAACAGAGAUGAGAAACCACUUGGAUGAGAAGCUAGCAGAGCUGAAACACCAUGGACUUAAAAAUAAUCUACCCAUGUCAGGCCCCAUCCAGGACCUAUUCAACCAGAGUCUUGGACAGGGUAGGUAUGCCUGUUUUGCUCUGCUUCACAAACAUUUUAAGAUAAACUUUUAUUUUUAGAUAAAGUUAUGUUAUUCAAAAUUAAAUAAUGUCUUAUACUCCAAAGAAAAAUGCAAAAUUUCAACCCAGAAAUACUGUAUGUGAUUUAAACAACAACAACAAAAACUGUAACCUUGUACUUAAAAGAAAAUGACAUUGAAGUUAAGAUAAAGGAAUUGCUAAACUUAAGAUCCAUAUUUCUUUAUAAGAGAAACUAUUUUCUAUAAAUCUACUGGGAGUUAAGAAUUGGAAAAACACAUAUGUUAAAUGGAACUUUUGAACUACACGUUUUGAUUUUACAUAUAGAUGACCUCCUCUCUCAUUUGUCAAAGCUUAUAACACUUACAUUUUAUCUGUAUCGUUGUUUAUACUUAGUUAUCUAUUUAAUUUUAACACUUGACUGGUGCUAUUCCCUUCAAAACUUUGCAUACUCCCUUGUUUUCUGGCAAUUUGGUUUACACCU
This 3732-nucleotide long non-coding RNA is filed under the name Homo sapiens (human). RNAcentral's name for it is "HSALNT0101454". Lineage: Eukaryota; Metazoa; Chordata; Mammalia; Primates; Hominidae. The record is from RNAcentral.